RNAcentral lists this transfer RNA (85 nucleotides) under Felis catus (domestic cat). It matches the Rfam family "tRNA". Rfam says of the family: Transfer RNA (tRNA) molecules are approximately 80 nucleotides in length. Their secondary structure includes four short double-helical elements and three loops (D, anti-codon, and T loops). The record is from Rfam by way of RNAcentral. Lineage: Eukaryota; Metazoa; Chordata; Mammalia; Carnivora; Felidae.
GCCUGGGUGGCUCAGUUGGUUGAGUAUCUGAUUUUGGCUCAGGUCAUGAUCUCGCAGUCUGUGAGUUCGAGCCCCGCAUUGGGCU